Homo sapiens (human) is the source of this 744-nucleotide long non-coding RNA. The record is from Ensembl. Lineage: Eukaryota; Metazoa; Chordata; Mammalia; Primates; Hominidae.
CAGUCAGUGACACCAACAGAGGCUGCGCUCAGUGGGGCAACCUCUCCUCCUCCGCAGCCCCAGCCUCCUCCCUGACUCUGCCAGGCAGCUAGCUCCAGCCAGGUCCUCCAACACUCCCCUUGUCCUGGAGGGCCAGCCUGGGGCCUGGCAACGCCCAGCUGUUCAACAUGAAGUUGCCCCAGGACCCCCAGGAUCACCCUGGAGGGGCCCCCAUCAGGAGACGCAAGACCCCUGGGCCAGGGCUGAGAGGGCCUGUUCACUUGCUGAGCUGCUGAUGGGCAGGUGACGGCCUAUCCUGCAGCAGUUAGAGGGCAGCUAGGGAGACGUGGGCUCCUACCUUUCUCUCCCUGCACCCCUUCUCCAGCAUUGUUCCCAGCAGGCUUGGGACUCCACUGAACUUGGAUCUCUUUGGUUUUGUUCCUUGUCCUCUCCCUCUGCUCACACACUGGGCUCCAAGGAGCCCGUUCAACCCCAGAUUCUUGGAUUCAGAAUCCUGGGAUCAUCAAAUCCCAGAGAUGUCAAAGCUCAUUUGGUCUGCCCCUUCCUUAGAGCUACACCAUCCGGCCUUGACCCUUGGAGAUGGGAUGUCCACUUGGCUGGGUUUAUUGCACCCUUGCUGUAUGCAAGGCUCUUUGCUUAUCAGGCUUGGAGAAAUUGAGUUAGGUGGUGCAAAAGAGGAUACAGAGGGAAAUAGUGCCCGGCCUGCCUUAGGAAGCCCACAGUCCAAUAAAAAAGACACAAGAA